UCCCUCCUGUGCCAGCCAUCUCUGUCUCCAGGUGUGAGGAGAGAAAGGUUUGAGUCUCGGGGAAAGUCUGCAUCAGGCUUCUCACUUACAUCUGGGGGGCGCUGAGGUUCCAAGAGGUCAAGCUGUUUGCCUGGGGUUGCCCAGCUUCUUGGUAAGGGGGGUUGGGCGGGAGCCUUGCCCUUUCCCUGUGGCCUGGCUCUUCGUAGAGCCAAGCAGGGAGCUGCCCUGAGAGGCCUCGAGGAAGUGGGAAGUACUGUGCUUCCGUCUCCGGUAUGUGAAGCAAGAUGGGUGUUUUGAAAUACCUCUUGGGCCACAGAAAAUGGUAUUUCCCUGUGGUCACAAAGAAUAGCUGUGCAACCGUGGCCUGGCCCGUGGUCUCCCUUACAACUGGGUGAGAGCACAUAGUGUCUGGACUCUGUGGUGUGGGACGGAGCCACUUCCUAGUUUCACUAUACAUAAAGAUAAUACAGGAUAGUAUUGUGAUAAGAGGAUGGAAACCAAGCUCUGCUCCGUGCUAGCUGUGCGACGUCGGGCAAUCUCCCAGAUGGACACACGGCCCUUCAGCUAUAUGACCGUUCCCUCGCUCCUCUGUCAUUGGAUGUAGCCACGGGACUAAGUCUUCAGUGGAUCCAUUCUCACUGGUGUAAAAGGAUAUCUCAUUGUGCAAACUCCUAUGUUCUUAUAAGGACCCCAGUCCUGCCGGAUUAUAGGCCCACUAUUCUCCAGACUGACCUCAUCUUCACCGGUUACACCUGCAACAACCCUAUUUCCAGGGAUUGGUUCAGAGUGCAAGCACCUGUCCUUUUGGGGGGACCGGGUCCUCUGUGGAAGUGAAGGAGGAAGCACGAAGCCUCCAUUGCCCCGGCUGGCAGCCGCUUUACCAUCAUGAGGGAAGCACACCUGAGGAUAAAGAGUCAGCAGAGGAUUUGUAUUAUGGAAGCUAAGAAAAUGGACUGUAGCUGUGAAGGAAAGAGGUGACGCUCUUCACCUCAGCAGACUUCAGGGCAUGUUGCAUGUUGAAACAUCAUGACUUACCACGCUGAGAAGAUGCACAGGGAUCACAUGUUUGAUACGAAACUCAGCUCCUUCAGGCUGAUAAGUGCAAACCAGAGAACACACUGUAGUGGAAACAGGAUUAAUCCAGGGUCCCCAUCCCUCUGACCCCAGUGGAGCUGCUGCUAGUGGAGCCACCUUGACUCAUUUACAUAGAGCUUGAGGAUUCCCUCUGGGAAUACAGACAGGGUACAGUUCAGCGGCGUUAAAUUCAUUUACAUCACCACCUCCUUCUCCAGAGUGGAUGGUGUUUCGAAUGGCCUGGCCCCUUGAAACAGUCAUGCGGCUGAAUUAGGGAAAACUGUAUUUGUCAGCUCAGAGUGCCACGACGUAACACCACAGCGCGGGCGGAUUAAACAGCAGAAGCCCAUUUCUCACACUUCUGGAGCCUGAGAAGUACAAGAUCAAGGUCAGCUGGAGGGAUCUCUCUGACUUCAGCAUGGUGCAGUCACUCUUAAGAAUUUUUCACUAAGGAGCACCUGGGUGGCCCAGUCAGGCAAAGAAGUCAGUGGAAACACUGGUCUGUGGAGUCAUUCAGAGAUUCAGGACGACAAUGAUCCUUCUCAUUUCAGACACAGUUUUCAAAGUCUUUGUGAAACUUGUCAUCCUUCAGCCAGGAAGAAAGGGAAAAAAGAUGAAGGAGCAUGUGCAGGGGGGUUUGUAUGAGUGAAAUCUGAAAGUGGGCACAUCACUUGCACCCUCAGUGCAUUACUUAGAAUUCAUGCCUAAUUUCACAGAAGGCUUGGAAAUGUAUCCAAGCUGUGGGCCAAGAAAAAAAAAUGAACAUUGAUUGUUAGCAGCUCCUGCCAUUACAGUUGUGUUCCAAAGGGCACCAUUUUUACCUAGACUGUGUUAUAAAUGUUGCCUCUGGAGUUGUGUUACAUGGUGGCUCUGUUCUCUAUUUCUGGCACAUACAACAGUGAGCAGUGAUAGCAGGUCAUAGCAGGUGAUUAUUGUGAUGUGGAUCAGAAAGUCUCAAAUUGACAUGGUUUGCAUCUGCUUUCUUUGGACGCAGGAUUUCAGGGGAAGCCACAUUGUAUACAGUGGUUUCUUUGGGUGUGGGCAGUUACUUGAGAUGUUAAUGAAAGCAAGAUAAAAUGGUCAUAAUGUUUCCAUCCUUGCAAGAGGUAAAUUCUUGUCCCCAAAUCUGGGUAGGUUGAGUCCCUGAGUCAGGACACCCUUUUAAGCAUAAAAGAUUGGGGUAAGGACUGUCAGAUGUUCCUACCAGUACCUUUAUUUUGUGCUCAGUUUAGCGCUCAGUCAGGUUGUGAGAACUGUGCUUUGGGAGACCAGGCAAAACUCUUGACUCUGCAAAGUAUGUGUUUUGAUCCAGUGUGUGUUAAUUAAUUUUUAAAUUUUAAUGGCAAAAAUAAGUUUAUUUGGGAAUAACAGAAUUGCAAUUUGGGAACUGAAUGUAGGCAAGUCGCUCAGGGUGCAAUAAUUUAUAUAGUUGGAUUCUUAGUUUGAUCCAUCAAGAGGGUCUUACCCAACCCAAGUGAGACCCAUAGUUAGUGAUGAUGUCACACUUUAUCAUUCAUAAAUGCAAGUGCUCGUAAAAUAUGCCAUUUGAUCCUCACAACAGUACUGGAAGAUAAGAUAGGGCCCCUAUCUCAGAGAAAUGUGACUUGCCUCAGUUCACACAGGAAACGGACACCACUGAGAUCAUCUCUCACCUGUAUCUUCCACCAUCUGCCCUGGCUCCUUAACCACGACAUAAAGUCAGGCUCUAGUCACCCCUUGUCUUAUUGAAACAACAACAACAGACUCACCCCUUCCUCCUGCUCUCUCCUUCAACUUCUAACCAGCUCAAGAUUUCUUGCCUUCUCUCGGUGUCUGAACUUCUCUAAUAGGAUUUCCCUGCUUUAUAAAAAUGAAAGAGAAUAUGUAUUCAAUAUAUAUGAUAAAAUAAAUGUGCAUACACAUGUGUAUAUAAAUUUAAGAAAAAUAAUA
Canis lupus familiaris (dog) is the source of this 3003-nucleotide long non-coding RNA. RefSeq lists it as uncharacterized. The transcript has 10 exons. The record is from RefSeq and is a predicted model, not a curated record. NCBI's taxonomy places the organism in Eukaryota, Metazoa, Chordata, Mammalia, Carnivora, Canidae.